UCAGUGUUUUCUUAACUUUCCGCAAAGAGAGAGAGAGCGAAAGAGAGAGAGACAGCACAGUCGAAACAGAGAGAGAGGGAGAUAGCGAAAGUGAGCCAAAGAGAGUGGUGAUUCCGUUUUGCUGUGAGGAGGAAGAAGAUCUGCUUCAUGGAUAGCUCUGCCGUCUACCUUUUGGGGGUAUUGUUCGGUUUUGCUGUGAGGAGGAAGAGGACCUGCGUUUUGAGCCAAGGAGAAGAUGAGGGAUUUGGGUAUAGGGUUGUGAUCGAUACUUAGUUUUUGGGCUCCAAGAAAACAUAGCGCACACGUUAAUCCAUCAGAUAAAAGCUUUUCAACUUAAUUUCAGAAUCAGGGUUCGCGUUUUGAGAAUCUGGAGGCCAAGGAGGUACAACAGCGAGAUAUAUGACGGUCUUCAUUACAUCUUGGUCGAUGAAGAGGCGAUAGCUUAUGGAUCUGCGAAGCUUGCAGAUUUUGGAUUGGCAAGAGAGGGGGUUCGAUCUAUAGUCUAAAAGAGAGAGGGGGAGAGAGAGAACGAUUGCACCCACCCAGAGGAAGAGAAGAAGAAGAAGAAGAAAAGGGGGACAUGAAGCUCUCAGGGAAAUCACUGGUCCGGGCAAUCCAAUACUAAGGGAUUGCCCAGUAUGGAAGCUGCCGAGCUCUUUUAUCAAAUUAAGAAGUAGAGGUUUUCACAGUUUCGUGAAAUUGUGUUUACAAAGAUUUAAUUAUAUCUGUGAUGACUUUGCAAUUUGGGCCGUGUGUUGCAGCUGCUAUAGAUGAAUGAAUAAAGGAGGGGCGCUUGAACGUAGUUUGCGAGAGAUUGCAUUAUUCCCUGAGAUUGAUAAGAAGCAGAGCUCUACGCAACCCAUUUCGAGUUGCAGAUGUCACUCCCAGACAGAGUCAGAGAUGAUACAGAGGACAGAGAACAAAGCUUAAUCAGACUUGAUUUGACAGAGAGGCGGAGACAGUGCAUGCACUACUAGGAAAAGGGCCAAAGGCCACUGAUUUCUUUCUCCUCGUUAUGAAUCAUGAUUAUGGGCUUUUCAUCAACAAAGGACAAGGAGAUUUCUUUCUCCUCGUUAUGAAUCAUGAUGAGAUGGUUGAAAUCAGUCCUGCAGGAAUAAGGAAGUCCAAGAUUUUACCUUCUGGAUAUGCCGUCUAGAGAUCGACCCAAAUGUUGUUUGAGUCUUCUGCCAUGAUGGAGCUUGCUAAGUGCUAUGCAAAUACUACAAGAUCGUAUAAGCUGAGCACCCGCUUUUCGUUAUGAAUUGGGAGAGUAGGAAUUCAGAUGGAUCUGAUAUAUGAAAGUCACUGGUAUUUCAAGAAGAUGAUGUUCUGCUAUUCAGAUGGAUCUGAUAUAUGAAAGACACUAAGUCAAGAAGAUGAUGAACUUGCUUGUGCACUUGCCAUGCUUUUGUGUGAUUCGGAGCCUGACAGAUGAAGGAAAUGCCUUGAAGAAGUAAAGUUCAAUUUGCUUCUAUUGAGGGGUUGUUAUCUACAUGCACAAAGCUUCCACAGAUGAAGGAACACCUAGCUUUUCCUGUGGGAAACCUUCUUGUGAUGGUAUGCUCAACGUAAUUCAUUGUUCAAAUGAAAGAAUCUAGUUUAUUGGUAGCGAGCAAACAUCUAUUAGAAUUGAUGAGGUCAAGCAAAAUAAGUUGCAGUCUGGAUUAUCUUUGAAGCAUAUAGAAAAUAAAGAGCAGAAGAGGAUUGUGCUUGUUUAGGAAUCAGUUUCCUUCCGAAACAAUGCAUACUGUUCUUCCAUCGUGCUCUACUCUCACUAAAGCUCAAACAUUUUUAGUUAGUUCUCUUGACGCUGUUGGUUUAGGUUUGCUACUCUCUUUGCCAACAAGUAGCCUCUUUUAUGGUUUUGACAAUCCAAAAUAUUCUUGAAGAUUGUCAAAUGGAAGGGUUUCUUCCUGCAAUUUACAAGCAAGUUUAGGUUCUGCCAUUUUGCGAGACUGGGUGAUAUUCAUAUGCGCCUCUCCAUUUUGUGGGACUGCCUAGUUGUCAAGUGGAAAUGGUUUGUGUGAGGCUUUGCAUUGUUUUCCUAAACGAUCCUGACAAAGAUACUCUACAAAAAAAAAAAAAGGAAAAUGAGAAGAAUAAAUCUUUGGAGAAAGACGAGACAAAUUUUGGAUGGGAAAGCUGCUGUUGAAUACAAAUCUCAGUAGCUUCUGGACUGGAUAUGUUGAGGUCCAUAAUUUAAAGAGUGCUAAAGUGGAUUGGCAAUAUUCCAGAGUUUUGUGUGAUUGAGCUUCUUCUAGAUUCUCUGUCUAAUGUUCUUUGAGAGAUUAUCUUGGUGUUGACGUGCUUCAUGAGACCCCAUCAUCAACUGACAUGGAUGUUAAUGCUCCUGCUAUCAAUGGAAAACGAAUAGCUAUUGCUUUGUCCUCUGAAGAUGGUGGAGAAGGUACUCAAAGAAGAUUCUGCAUCAUUUGCAAAGGAAGUGUUGAUAGUGAAAAAAAAAAAAAACAGAUGGAUAUUGGAAGCAGAAAUUAGCAAGCAGGGCUAUUAUUCCGGUUCUGAGAAACUGGGAGUGGAGGUUAAAAAAGUUUUGGUGCGUCUCUGCUUCCCGUGGUGUUGUCCAUGCUUGAAAUGAAGACCCAAAUAGGAAGCUGCUACAUGGUCAGUAUAUGAGCAUCUGGAUUGAGGGAAAACGUGCCACCAAUGUGGUCUUUGUUCGAAAACCAUUACUUUAAAUUUAUUAGCUGAUUAAUCGUUUUUUUUUUUUUUUUUUGACCUUUUUGUAAAUAAGUCAGUACAUCAUUUUAGGGCCCAACAAAAAAAGAAAGAAAACAAAAAUGGUUACGUUGGGCCCAACGAAAAAAGAAAGAAAACAAAAAUGGAUACGUUGGGCCUAAUGAACUCACCUAUAAAUA
This is a long non-coding RNA of Rosa rugosa (rugosa rose), 2876 nucleotides long. RefSeq lists it as uncharacterized. The record is from RefSeq and is a predicted model, not a curated record. The transcript has 12 exons. NCBI's taxonomy places the organism in Eukaryota, Viridiplantae, Streptophyta, Magnoliopsida, Rosales, Rosaceae.